Molecule: long non-coding RNA, 920 nt
Organism: Oncorhynchus keta (chum salmon)
Lineage: Eukaryota; Metazoa; Chordata; Actinopteri; Salmoniformes; Salmonidae
Exons: 3
Source: RefSeq, a predicted model, not a curated record
UCUAUGGGGUGGUUGUGUGUAUAGAGGUAGUGGUCACACACACUGACCUGUAGUAGCAGUAUGAAGUAGUCUAUGGGGUGGUUGUGUGUGUAGAGGUAGUGGUCACACACACACUGACCUGUAGUAGCAGUAUGAAGUAGUCUAUGGGGUGGUUGUGUGUGUAGAGGUAGUGGUCACACACACACACUGACCUGUAGUAGCAGUAUGAAGUAGUCUAUGGGGUGGUUGUGUGUGUAGAGGUAGUGGUCACACACACACACACACUGACCUGUAGUAGCAGUAUGAAGUAGUCUAUGGGGUGGUUGUGUGUGUAGAGGUAGUGGUCACACACACACACUGACCUGUAGUAGCAGUAUGAAGUAGUCUAUGGGGUGGUUGUGUGUGUAGAGGUAGUGGUCACACACACACACUGACCUGUAGUAGCAGUAUGAAGUAGUCUAUGGGGUGGUUGUGUGUGUAGAGGUAGUGGUCACACACACACUGACCUGUAGUAGCAGUAUGAAGUAGUCUAUGGGGUGGUUGUGUGUGUAGAGGUAGUGGUCACACACACACACUGACCUGUAGUAGCAGUAUGAAGUAGUCUAUGGGGUGGUUGUGUGUGUAGAGGUAGUGGUCACACACACACUGACCUGUAGUAGCAGUAUGAAGUAGUCUAUGGGGUGGUUGUGUGUGUAGAGGUAGUGGUCACACACACACACUGACCUGUAGUAGCAGUAUGAAGUAGUCUAUGGGGUGGUUGUGUGUGUAGAGGUAGUGGUCACACACACACUGACCUGUAGUAGCAGUAUGAAGUAGUCUAUGGGGUGGUUGUGUGUGUAGAGGUAGUGGUCACACACACACACUGACCUGUAGUAGCAGUAUGAAGUAGUCUAUGGGGUGGUUGUGUGUGUAGAGGUAGUGGUCACACACACACUGACCUG